UUAGACAUGUGAUUCCCACAUCAUGUGCCAGGAAAAAUAAAUCAGGAUCCCUGGAGAUGGGAGCAGAAUCCAAGACAUACAAGUAAUUCUAAUAAGCUUCCCCCCUUUCCUUUAUAUUGUAAAUGCAGUGAAAGAAGAAAACAUGACCUACAUGGAACUCUGGCCCCCAUGGCCAAGGUCAAAGUCAUCAUCAUCAUCAUCAUCAUCAUCAUCAUCCACCCACAC
Fukomys damarensis (Damara mole-rat) is the source of this 225-nucleotide long non-coding RNA. RefSeq lists it as uncharacterized. NCBI's taxonomy places the organism in Eukaryota, Metazoa, Chordata, Mammalia, Rodentia, Bathyergidae. The record is from RefSeq and is a predicted model, not a curated record. The transcript has 3 exons.